AGCAACGGCACCGGCUAACGGGAGCGGUGCCACUCACCGGGCAGCAGCACCGGCUAACGGGAGCGGUGCCACUCACCGGGCAGCAACGGCACCGGCUAACGGGAGCGGUGCCACUCACCGGGCAGCAACGGCACCGGCUAACGGGAGCGGUGCCACUCACCGGGCAGCAACGGCACCGGGUAAUGGCAUGGAGUGACAGCACCGGGUAAUGGUACUGGAACAAGGCACGGGAUAAUGGCAGCAGGCAGUGGCACUGGGUGAUGGUACCGGGCACCAGCGCAGGUUAACGGCACCAGUGCCAGCAGCAGCACGAGUAAUGGCACAGGGUGUCAUAAGUGAGUAGUGGCACUAGCACCAGGUAUGGGCAGAAUCCAAAACAGCUUCAGCCUUCAACACCUUCAACACAGUUUCAGCAGCUCUGGCAGGACACAAACCAGCACCAGAAUUUGGCAGUAAGUACCGGGAAAGCCCAAAGUAGCACCAAGCCUUGGUUCUGGGAACAGGAAUGACCAAAUCUGUACCAGGUGGCCACAGAGCUGCCUUGUGCUGAUGCCAGGCCCUCUGCGUGAAGCAGCCGUGGCUGCACGGUGCUCGUUCCCACCACAGGCCUGGGCUGACACUUGGCAGCCACGUACACGAGCAAGAUCCCCAGCGCUGCUACAGCCUCGGGCACCUGCUGGGACAGGACACUGCAUCCCCUUCCCCAAGCUGCCACGUCCCCUGCAAGCUGUGAGGAGACCCAAGGCACUGCCAGCUCCUCUGCAGUUGCUCAAACAGGGAAAAUUAACAGCAACCAUAAGAAAACCAUCCUGAGGAGCUCUUGCACAGCUACCACUCACAGCAGGCUCCUCCUGGCAGCACUGGCGCCCCAGGGCCGUGGGGUACCCCGGGUGAUGGGCACCCCGGGGUGCGGCUGCUGUGCGGUGAUGGGCAGAGGCGGCGGCAGGAAGCAAUACUGGGCGUGCUCGUUCUGCCCCAGCACUCGCACCCGCCGCAUGGGAUCUCCUGGGCUUUCACUUUCGUUACCAGCUCAUCUUCUGUGGCCUGAAAAAACUCUGGAGGGAAAUUCAGCAAACGCAGGUCCCUCUCCUGCUCUGGGCUGGUAGAAGCACAGGUGACCCUUCCCCCGUGGGAAUCCAGGAAGGAGAGGUUUGUCUCUCCUUGUGCCAGUGCUGGAAAAGGAUCACUCUCAGACAGUUGAUGCACCAGCAAUUGCAAAUCACUUGGCCGCUGUGUCAAAGCACAGCCUCAAGUUCCCACCUCUCUACUGCUUUUAUCUAUUGCUCUUGUACUAAAGUCCUCCAGCUCGGGCUCCUCACUGCCUUAUCCAGCUCCACGCUUCCAAGAGAUAAAUACCCGUGGGCUGGGCAGGCACCAGCCCAGCACCUGCUCCAUGCAAACGCCAACCACAAAACAGUGCUUUCCAAUUCACCAGCCCCACUCUGAGCCUGCAGCAGCCCUGGUGAAUGACUGAAUGAGUGAAUCCAGCCCGAACAAACCCGAACAAAUGUUUUGCCGCCUGUGCUCACCCACUUGGGAGAAUCUCACGCACAGAGGCUGACACAUCGGUGCUGAGCUGCUGCCAGCAGAGCCCUGGCUGCCAUUCCCAGUGCUGCUGGGGCACUCCAGACCUCACAGAGAGGUGAGCUGGGACCCUGGGAAGCAGGGACAGGCACACAAUGUGAAGCCAGCAGCCCCCACACUGUCUGUAUUCAAUGAGACGAAAGAAAAGGAGCGGAGAAGGCAGCGCAGGGCCCUGGUGCCUGCCCACCCUGCUUGGCCAGGACGCUCUUGCUCUGGUCCCAAGGAAAUCUACGAGCUGGCUGGUGGGGAUGUUACCCAGGAGAAAUUCUUUCUUUCCAGAAGAAAAGAACAGAGGAACAGUGACUGCAGCAGAGAUCGAUAGAGAGGCUGCCCCUGGAUCUGCCUCACCUCCACCCCCAGCGAUGCCCUGAAGUGGCCCCAGCUGUGCCCUGGCUCUCUUUGGUCCUCAGCAAGUCCCGGGAAGCCUCUGGGAAGGUGGGCAUUGUCCAGGCUGAGGCACAGCCGGACGCACGGUCACCUCGCAUGAGCUCAGCAGGAUGCAGAAUGACGCCGUGCAUUCCGGGGACAGAGGGAGCCUGGAGCUUCGUAAUGGAUUUCUGAGAAAAUUGCCUCUGUGUUUGGAGAAGGAACGCAAAGAGUGCAGGCGGAACAGCCUUCCUCUCUAAGUGGCAUCUCAAGGGUCUUAAUUAUUUCUCAGGAGUGGAAACAUUUAUUUAGGCGGCUCCGGAGAGGUCCUGACGCUUUUGGCUACUGCCCUCCGGGCACAUCCUGUAUGCGAGGCUCCUCUGCAAUCCUCCCUGCUGCUCCCGGGAUGUGCAGGGUGCUGAGCCUGGGCGAAACACAAACACCCAACCACAUCACCUGCGGGCAGGGCACAGCCUGGGCUCCAUCCCCUCCUGCUUAGGGCAGCAGGACGUCUCAUGGGGCAGCCCAGCCCCAUCCCAUAUCCCUGCUUUGCAUCCCUCACCCUCCCAGGUCUGUGCUGAGGCCACAAAGCCCUGUUGUGAUAAUCCAGCCCAGCUAAUGUGAACCAGAUGAAUCCCCACAUUAGUCACAGAUUCAUGUUUUCCCACAAAGGUCCCAUUGGAGAACCAGUCCGGAUGGGCCCUGCGGGGUUCCAGCCCUGGUGCUGGUGCGAGAGGCAGCCUGUGGAGAGGGGCCAGCAGCCCAGGGGACAGGGCAGCAGCACAGACCCUGCCAGAACCCGGCCAGCCCAUGGGCAGAGGGAAGUGGGGGCACCAGAGAAGCUUGUCGCUGGCACAGGCUCAGCCUGAUGGUGCCUAGUGCCAGCAGGAGGGGAUGAUCUGCUCCAGAAAAAAACGGAAAUGACAUUUUGUCCAAGGGGGAAUUUCCACAGGAAACCUCUGCUUCCAGCCACUCGGGAAUAACCCAGCAAACGCUUGGCCUCAGCAGCCAAGCAGUGCCAUUGCUUGGGCAAAGACUCUUUGUUUCCUCCACAGCUCCUCCAGCUAGGAAAGAACAUCCAGUUUCUGCUGCUGAAACAUGCAGGACAGCGAGAGCCCUGCAGGAUCUGCAGAGGGCACCAGAACCCCCCAUCAGCUCAGUGGUUAUCUCUACACCUGAGGGGACACGGCAGGGACUCUGCAGCCCAGCUGGGACCAAGGACACAAUCCUCUCAUGCCCACCCCAGUGCCGGGGCUGGCUGGGGGCAGCAGGAGGGCUGCGCUUGGCCACCACCCCAUGCUGGUGCAUCCCAACAUCUCUGCACUUCCCCAUGCAUCUCUGCCCUCUCCCUGCAUCCCUGCUCUCCCUUGCAGAGCUCAGGUUGCCACAGUAACCGCUCAGUCCCAGCUGCUCCUGCUCCUGCCACAAUCGUGCUGCCACAGGUCAGCCCAGUCCAGCAGCUGCAGCAGGGCCAGGGCCCUUCACCCCAUGUUGGGAUGAGUGGAGCCCUCGGUGGUGGUGCCACCACAGCCAAACACUGCAUUCUGAGCCAGGAUGGGACACCUGUAGGGAAGCAGGCAGGUUGUGUCCUCCUGGAAUGGCUGGGAGGUGGUGUUUUUGGAGAUCACGCUGUGCUGCAGCUCCAGGUCUGACCUCUGCCACAUGUGGCAGUGGAAGCCACCACUGCUUGGCUCUGCUCUGCUGUGUAUUAAUCUGAGUGUGAAGCAAUAUUUGACUGUUGUGUUCUGAGCACUGGAAGCAGGGAUUGGGAUGGCUCUUGGCUUGGGCAGCAGUGGCAUGUGCUCUGCAGCUCAGCAUGUGUUGCUGUGGGAAGAUCCUGGGAGGGCAGAGGAGACCCUCAGGCCGGUCCUUGGGCAGGUGGCAGCUGAAUCCCCGGGGUCUCUGCCUCCCACCCCUCACUGCAGCCCUGCUCAUUCAGUUGCUUGGCCCCAGGGAUGGGGCUGGAGUCGCAGAUAAACUGUGGCCUCUCUAA
Cyanistes caeruleus (blue tit) is the source of this 3943-nucleotide long non-coding RNA. RefSeq lists it as uncharacterized. The record is from RefSeq and is a predicted model, not a curated record. Lineage: Eukaryota; Metazoa; Chordata; Aves; Passeriformes; Paridae.